Molecule: unclassified non-coding RNA, 240 nt
Filed under: soil metagenome
Description: partial contains 5.8S ribosomal RNA, internal transcribed spacer 2, and large subunit ribosomal RNA
Source: RNAcentral
AACAUCGCGCACCUGCGGGAACCUGCGGAGGGAUCAUCAUUGCUAACAACGUCCCAAGCUUUCGGGGAGGAGGAGAGAAAUUUUCUUUUCCCCUGGCUUUUGGGCUUUUACAAACAACUUUGAUACCCAAAAAGAGUCUCGCUCCCUUGGCUUUAUCUCUUUGGUUUUCAGCUUGUUUUUAUAUGGGCUGAUAGGAUAGCUGAAGGGAGAAAAGGAAAGUGGAGAAGAGAAAAAAAACAU